AUCUCUUGGAGUUCUAGCUCACCUUUCUGGUGUUGUUCUUGUAUUCAUCUGUUUAAUCUAGUUCUGCCACUUCUUCUUGAACUUCUUGUUAGAUUUCAAGUCUGUAUUUUGUGUCCGUGACAAUAUGUGUGUGUGUGUAAUGACCAUUGAUUUAUUUAUUUUAAAAACUCAAUGUAAGAAGAACAAAAAAAUAAAUAAACAUGAUCAUUUUAGACUUACAUAUCAUAUUAUUAAUAAACAAGUAUCGUAAAUCCCAUCAAUGGAUCUUAAUUAGUGG
This 277-nucleotide long non-coding RNA is filed under the name Physcomitrium patens. Its description in RNAcentral is "long non-coding RNA (PPAT_LNC010833)". Lineage: Eukaryota; Viridiplantae; Streptophyta; Bryopsida; Funariales; Funariaceae. The record is from RNAcentral.